Long non-coding RNA from Telopea speciosissima, 160 nucleotides. RefSeq lists it as uncharacterized. The record is from RefSeq and is a predicted model, not a curated record. Lineage: Eukaryota; Viridiplantae; Streptophyta; Magnoliopsida; Proteales; Proteaceae. The transcript is spliced from 3 exons.
UAUUUACCCCAGCAAACAAAGGAGUUGGAUGAGUACAUUGACACAUUAAACAGACAUGGGAGAACUAUGGAGUGACUGUGAUGUGUGAUGGUUGGACUGGACCCACUAGACAAUCCACCAUCAACUUCAUGGUCUAUUAUGACGGGAAGAAUCAUUCUUG